Long non-coding RNA from Hibiscus syriacus, 883 nucleotides. RefSeq lists it as uncharacterized. The transcript is spliced from 2 exons. The record is from RefSeq and is a predicted model, not a curated record. NCBI's taxonomy places the organism in Eukaryota, Viridiplantae, Streptophyta, Magnoliopsida, Malvales, Malvaceae.
ACCUUCACACUAAUUCCCUAACCCCCAACACACCUCUAUUUCCCUUUCUCCAUUGAAGGAGACCUUGAACCUCCCACAGCUGAAUGAUGCUCAAAUUAUCCUAGCUUCCUGAAAGCUUAGGCGCUGAGCUUUUGGAGACUUUGGUAAAGAUGCUAUUUUGUUUGCUUUAACAGGUAACCCGGAAAGCUUAGGUGCAAUUGAGACAUCUCGGAACUUGGUUCUGCAUAAAUUUUUCUCAAGGCCGUGCUUGAUAUCCACUUUGCCUUUAAAAGUAUUGAAGUCAUGCUUUACAGAGCAACUUUGAUGCAAAAGUGAAGUACUUGAGGAAAUCUUUUCAAACCCUUUGAGGAAGCAAUUGAAGAAUAGUUGGUUAUUCCUCAAACUCCUGGAGGCUGUUUUGAAGACAGGAAACCGAAUGAAUGGCGGAACCAAUCAUGGCGAUGCUAAAGCUUUUAAACUUGACACCCUUUUAAAACUUGUUGAUAUAAAGGGCACGGAUGGGAAAACAACACUACUGCACUUUGUUGUUCAGGAGAUCAUUAGAUCCGAAGGUGCAGGCACUAAUUCUACGAAUGAGAAUCCCAAAAACAUACUGCUUUCCAACAUUAAGGAGGAUGAUUUCAGGAAGCAAGUAUUACAGGUUGUGGUUGGGCUGAGCUGAGAACUCGGCUCAAGGUCUCUUUCAAUGGAGAAAGAUUCUGAAUGAAGAAUGGAAAGACAAAAAGGAAAGGGGGGAAUAGUUUGUUGUUGGUUUUGGUGGUUUCUCCCCCUUAUUUUUUUCUAUUGCUCGUUCCAUUUUGAUUCGAUUAAAAGGAUUCAAUGUUUGUGGUUGUGUUUUGGUUUUGGAUUUAAUCAAAACCCAGAUUUGAGUUUCGGCUGUUUU